AACGAACGCUGGCGGCAUGCCUAACACAUGCAAGUCGAACGAGACCUUCGGGUCUAGUGGCGCACGGGUGCGUAACGCGUGGGAACCUGCCCUUAGGUUCGGAAUAACUCCCCGAAAGGGGUGCUAAUACCGGAUAAUGUCUUCGGACCAAAGAUUUAUCGCCUUUGGAUGGGCCCGCGUUGGAUUAGCUAGUUGGUAGGGUAAAAGCCUACCAAGGCGACGAUCCAUAGCUGGUCUGAGAGGAUGAUCAGCCACACUGGGACUGAGACACGGCCCAGACUCCUACGGGAGGCAGCAGUAAAGAAUAUUGGACAAUGGGCGAAAGCCUGAUCCAGCAAUGCCGCGUGAGUGAUGAAGGCCUUAGGGUUGUAAAGCUCUUUUACCCGGGAUGAUAAUGACAGUACCGGGAGAAUAAGCUCCGGCUAACUCCGUG
This 433-nucleotide ribosomal RNA is filed under the name uncultured bacterium. RNAcentral describes it as "partial 16S ribosomal RNA". It matches the Rfam family "Bacterial small subunit ribosomal RNA", at positions 29 to 507 of the family's 1533-position model. The record is from RNAcentral.